UCUAUGGAGAGUUUGAUCCUGGCUCAGGACGAACGCUGGCGGCGUGCCUAAUACAUGCAAGUCGAGCGGAGAUUUGAAAAGCUUGCUUUUCAAA
This 94-nucleotide ribosomal RNA is filed under the name Priestia filamentosa. RNAcentral describes it as "partial 16S ribosomal RNA". It matches the Rfam family "Bacterial small subunit ribosomal RNA", at positions 1 to 91 of the family's 1533-position model. The record is from RNAcentral. Lineage: Bacteria; Bacillati; Bacillota; Bacilli; Caryophanales; Bacillaceae.